UACGAAGGGGGCUAGCGUUGUUCGGAAUUACUGGGCGUAAAGCGCGCGCAGGCGGUCUUCCAAGUCAGUGGUGAAAGCCCGGAGCUCAACUCCGGAACUGCCAUUGAAACUGUAAGACUUGAGGACGAGAGAGGUGAGUGGAAUUCCCAGUGUAGAGGUGAAAUUCGUAAAUAUUGGGAAGAACACCAGUGGCGAAGGCGGCUCACUGGCUCGUAUCUGACGCUCAGGCGCGACAGCGUGGGGAUCAAACAGG
Molecule: ribosomal RNA, 253 nt
Filed under: uncultured bacterium
Lineage: Bacteria
Description: partial 16S ribosomal RNA
Rfam family: Bacterial small subunit ribosomal RNA
Source: RNAcentral